Drosophila pseudoobscura is the source of this 581-nucleotide long non-coding RNA. RefSeq lists it as uncharacterized. The record is from RefSeq and is a predicted model, not a curated record. The transcript has 2 exons. NCBI's taxonomy places the organism in Eukaryota, Metazoa, Arthropoda, Insecta, Diptera, Drosophilidae.
AGCACCUCCAAAGUCUUGCCACGUCGAUGACGUCUACAAUUGUAAAAGCAGAAAAUGUUGAAAAAAGACAGAGAAAAAUGGGGUUUACCAGGAGGGGAGAGGAGAGAAGAGGAGGUUCGGUUUGUGCAAUGACAAGUUGUUGUGAUUUAAUGUUUUCCAUCUUUUCCCCCCACCCGUCAUGGCUGUCGCUGACGGAUAUAUUAAAGCUUCGAUUAUGCCAUCAUCAGGAGGAGAAGGACCAGGACAACAGGCGGGGAGGACCCUCUGUGUGUUUGCUCAUGUGUCUGUCUGUCGUGUCUGUUCGGGGGAGAGGGUGCAGGCAUUGAGGCAGACAACAAAUUGUUAGACGCUACAAUGAACAUUCGAUGCGAUUGAUUGAAAAGUCAUCCCGGGAAAGAGGAGAUAAAAUGCCAUUGGUUUAUGCUGUUAUCACGAUGAAAGGGAUCUUUUAUGCUCAGGUCUCCCGCCCCGCCCCUCUGCCCUUUAUUGUGUGUCAACAAGUUUGGAGGACAAACAAUUUAAAUUACAAAGCAAACUCAAUAAAAAUGUUAAAAACUUUUUCGGCCAACACAAGAGAGAGA